GACAGAGGCCCCGAGCGUUAAUCGGAAUCACUGGGCUUAAAGGGUGCGUAGGCUGGUCCGAAAGUGCUUUGUGAAAUCCCAUGGCUCAACCAUGGAACAGCGGGGCAUACUACGGAUCUCGAGGAAGGUAGGGGCCGCCAGAACAGUAGGUGGAGCGGUGAAAUGCGUAGAUAUCUACUGGAAUGCCGAUGGUGAAGACGGGCGGCUGGGCCUUUCCUGACGCUGAGGCACGAAAGCGUGGGGAGCGAACAGG
RNAcentral lists this ribosomal RNA (253 nucleotides) under uncultured bacterium. RNAcentral's name for it is "partial 16S ribosomal RNA". It matches the Rfam family "Bacterial small subunit ribosomal RNA", at positions 524 to 776 of the family's 1533-position model. The record is from RNAcentral.